RNAcentral lists this ribosomal RNA (301 nucleotides) under uncultured bacterium. Its description in RNAcentral is "partial 16S ribosomal RNA". It matches the Rfam family "Bacterial small subunit ribosomal RNA", at positions 509 to 807 of the family's 1533-position model. The record is from RNAcentral.
CAGCAGCCGCGGUAAUACGGAGGGUGCAAGCGUUAAUCGGAAUUACUGGGCGUAAAGCGCACGCAGGCGGUCUGACAAGUCAGAUGUGAAAUCCCCGGGCUUAACCUGGGAACUGCAUUUGAAACUGUCAGGCUGGAGUCUUGUAGAGGGGGGUGAAAUUCCAGGUGUAGCGGUGAAAUGCGUAGAGAUCUGGAGGAAUACCGGUGGCGAAGGCGGCCCCCUGGACAAAGACUGACGCUCAGGUGCGAAAGCGUGGGGAGCAAACAGGAUUAGAUACCCCGGUAGUCCCUGUCUCUUAUAC